ACUCCUACGGGAGGCAGCAGUGGGGAAUAUUGCGCAAUGGACGAAAGUCUGACGCAGCGACGCCGCGUGGAGGAUGAAGGUUUUCGGAUCGUAAACUCCUGUCAAGAGGGAAGAAACCUAUCAUGAAUAAUACUUAUGGUAAUUGACGGUACCUCUAGAGGAAGCACCGGCUAAUUCAGUGCCAGCAGCCGCGGUAAUACUGAAGGUGCAAGCGUUAAUCGGAAUCACUGGGCGUAAAGCGCUCGUAGGUGGCUUUGUAAGUCAGGUGUGAAAGCCCACGGCUCAACCGUGGAAUUGCACUUGAUACUGCAUCGCUAGAGUAUAGGAGAGGGAAGUGGAAUUUCUGGUGUAGGAGUGAAAUCCGUAGAGAUCAGAAGGAACACCCGUGGCGAAGGCGACUUCCUGGACUAUUACUGACACUGAGGAGCGAAAGCGUGGGGAGC
RNAcentral lists this ribosomal RNA (443 nucleotides) under uncultured bacterium. Its description in RNAcentral is "bacterial SSU rRNA". It matches the Rfam family "Bacterial small subunit ribosomal RNA", at positions 335 to 769 of the family's 1533-position model. The record is from RNAcentral.